Molecule: microRNA precursor, 74 nt
Filed under: Myotis davidii
Lineage: Eukaryota; Metazoa; Chordata; Mammalia; Chiroptera; Vespertilionidae
Description: mir-9229 microRNA precursor family
Rfam family: mir-9229 microRNA precursor family
Source: Rfam by way of RNAcentral
GAGACACCCUUCUGGGGCAAGACUUGCUUCAGUGGGGCUUUGGUGCUCAUUGAGUCUCACCCGAGUGUGUCUCU